GAGAAGAGAACGCUCCAUGGUGACCUCACAGAAGCUGUUCAGUACCUAAAGGAGAGGUACAGGAAAGAAGGGGACAGACUCUUUAACAGGGUCUGUUGUGAUAGAAAAAGGGGAAAUGGUUUCAAGCUUAAAGAGGGUAGAUUUAGUUUAGAUAUCAGGAAAAAGUCUUUUACAGUUGAGGGUGGUGAGGUACUGGAAGAGUUUGCCCAGAGAUAUGGUGGAUUCCCUAUCUUUGGAGACUUUCAAGAAAAUUUUGUAUGGAUGGGAAGAGAGGACUCUGGACACCAGUCCUAGAUUUCAGAUCUCCAGUGGUCAGCUAAGGACAGAAGCCUCCUGGAACCUGCCUGAAGCCCUGAUCGACAUCCUUUACAGAUGCAAAGCUCAGCUCUGAUGAACGCACUUGUGGGGUAUAUCAGAUGUACAGCCUGUGUUUGAGGCAGAGAAUCAGUGCUUCCUCAGCAAGCUCACGUCAUGGAAGAGACCUCUGGUUUACUCAGCACGUAUCUGUCACUUGAGCAGCAGAUGGGCAGCAGACCACGUACACCCUGGCCAUGGCCAGCUCCCUGGGAUUCUUCAUGAACCUUUAACUCCGAAAUCUGGAACAGAAAUAUGGCAGGCUUAUAAUAUAGGUACACACAAAGUAAGUAUCAAGAGGAAUAAAUAACGCUGUAAAAAGCCCUGCUCGGGGCUCAUGCA
This is a long non-coding RNA of Gallus gallus (chicken), 696 nucleotides long. RefSeq lists it as uncharacterized. The transcript has 2 exons. NCBI's taxonomy places the organism in Eukaryota, Metazoa, Chordata, Aves, Galliformes, Phasianidae. The record is from RefSeq and is a predicted model, not a curated record.